RNAcentral lists this ribosomal RNA (404 nucleotides) under uncultured prokaryote. RNAcentral describes it as "bacterial SSU rRNA". It matches the Rfam family "Bacterial small subunit ribosomal RNA", at positions 355 to 774 of the family's 1533-position model. The record is from RNAcentral.
UGGGGAAUUUUCCGCAAUGGGCGAAAGCCUGACGGAGCAACGCCGCGUGAGGGAGGAAGGUCUUUGGAUUGUAAACCUCUUUUCUCAAGGAAGAAGUUCUGACGGUACUUGAGGAAUCAGCCUCGGCUAACUCCGUGCCAGCAGCCGCGGUAAUACGGGGGAGGCAAGCGUUAUCCGGAAUUAUUGGGCGUAAAGCGUCCGCAGGUGGUCAGCCAAGUCUGCUGUCAAAUCAGGUUGCUUAACGACCUAAAGGCGGUGGAAACUGGCAGACUAGAGAGCAGUAGGGGUAGCAGGAAUUCCCAGUGUAGCGGUGAAAUGCGUAGAGAUUGGGAAGAACAUCGGUGGCGAAAGCGUGCUACUGGGCUGUAUCUGACACUCAGGGACGAAAGCUAGGGGAGCGAAAG